CUAUCUUUUCCGUCCGGGAUAACUAGCCGAAAGGUUAGCUAAUACCAGAUACGCUCAUCGUGCGGCAUCGCACAAUGAUGAAAGCAGCAAUGCGCGGAUUGAGGAGGCUGCGGCCCAUUAGCUAGUUGGUGAGGUAACGGCCCACCAAGGCGACGAUGGGUAGCUGGUCUGAGAGGACGACCAGCCACAUUGGGACUGAGACACGGCCCAA
This 211-nucleotide ribosomal RNA is filed under the name uncultured bacterium. RNAcentral's name for it is "partial 16S ribosomal RNA". It matches the Rfam family "Bacterial small subunit ribosomal RNA", at positions 122 to 334 of the family's 1533-position model. The record is from RNAcentral.